RNAcentral lists this long non-coding RNA (218 nucleotides) under Homo sapiens (human). Its description in RNAcentral is "HSALNT0397587". Lineage: Eukaryota; Metazoa; Chordata; Mammalia; Primates; Hominidae. The record is from RNAcentral.
GCAGAGCUCGUAAUUGCUGCGGGGAGGACAGGCCAGCUCUGGAAGAAAACAGGUGGACCUGGGUCCCAUUAACCUGGACAGACACCUCCAAGAUGAGCAUGAGGGGGCUGCUGGAUCUGUUCUCCUUUCACAGCUGUAUCCUGAAGAAUGGCAGUGAGCCGGAAGAGCCACAGGAUUCGGCAAAGACGGACACACAGGAGAGGCUGCUUGGAAAUGAA